UGUGUGAAGGCCUUAACCUAUAUUCGAGAACCUCACCCGAGUGCUCUCCCUCUCAUUUUAUCUUACUUUCAUAUUUCUGUCACUCUAACGCUGCGCUUCACGCGCAUUAUGCGUGGAAACGGAACGCACCCUAAAUUGAAUUGAUGAAGAAGCGAGAAAUCUUUGUCCCAAAUAUUGAAGGAAGGAAGGAAGGAAGGAAGGAGAAAUCUUUGUUUGGCAAUUUGGAAAAGCGCAGAAAGAGGUGUUUGCAAUUGGAUAUUUUUGCUGAAAUACUCUGCGUUAUCAAUAAUUAUGUUACACACACAUGCGCAUAAAGAUUUCUCUGAUUUAUCACAGCGUCGGAAACGAAGAAUUGUAUUACAUGAAACUAAUUUAUUAAAUAAUCCACAUUUCAGGAAGUGUAGAAAAACUUAUAUAGAGGAAAUAGAUAAUAGACUUUAGAAAAGGUACGGAAAAAAGCAGAAGAUGCUAAUUACUCAACUUCUUGUGACGAAAAUAGAAGACGUGGAAAGAGUUGUAAAUAAAAAACAAUUCUAUAAUGCAUAUGACACUAGCGACGACAAUGCAGAUGGUGAUUUUGAUCCAUCUUCACAAUUAUGUAAGACUGCACACACAAGUUAAAAACAGAUAUAAGUCAGGAUUCAUGCAUGAAGAAAUCUUUGUGUGACAAACACUUCUCGCAGGAGAAAUUAUCCUCCUGUGAACAAGUUUCACAAAUUGCUGCCGAGAAAAGCUUCUCUACAACAAACCGUUCAUUAUGUAAUAAAUCACAAAAAAAGAAAGUUGAUUCACUACAAGCGGAUGAACUUUAUGAUAAUAAUAACCCGUUGCAAUUUAGAUCUCAGGAAGUAUAUGCAAACUACAGUUGGUGACAAUGAAAAACUGAUUCCAAUAUGUGUGGAGACGUUAAAAUAUGUAAAAAAUAUGGAGAAAAGGCUGAAAGCUUUAGAAAGAAACAUUAAUAAUGCGGAAGAUUGUAUGAAUCUAUUCGAUGAUAUACUUCCGAUCAAUUCCAUAGAGAAUCAAGAGGUUUGAAGAAAACUAGGAAAGUGCUGAAAUAAGAGCGA
Odontomachus brunneus is the source of this 1067-nucleotide long non-coding RNA. RefSeq lists it as uncharacterized. The record is from RefSeq and is a predicted model, not a curated record. Lineage: Eukaryota; Metazoa; Arthropoda; Insecta; Hymenoptera; Formicidae. The transcript is spliced from 6 exons.